Molecule: long non-coding RNA, 206 nt
Filed under: Phoenix dactylifera (date palm)
Lineage: Eukaryota; Viridiplantae; Streptophyta; Magnoliopsida; Arecales; Arecaceae
Description: long non-coding RNA (PDAC_LNC006574)
Source: RNAcentral
UAUAGGGGACUAUUUUCAUGAUUAGAAUUUUAAUGAAUGAAUGAUUAAGAACUUUCUUUUCCCCCACAUCUUAUUCUUCUUCUUCCUCCUCCUCCCCUUCUCUUCUUCCUGCGUCCCUAGAAUCUCUUCUUCCUUCUCCCUCUCUUGUUCUUCCUUCUUCUCCUCUUUUCCCGCACUUGUGCUACAUCAACUUGGUAUCAGAGCCG